GUUAAUGUUCAUUGGGUUGUUUGAUUCAUAAUUAUGUAAUUUUUGAUCUGGUUGUGUGUAUAGCUCGUAGAUGGGAGGAUCGCCUCACUAAGUAUUUAUUAAAAUAUGUAUGCAUCUCUUUCUUGGUGCAGGUAUAGACAAACUGUGACGUGGAAUCAUGGCGAGGAGAGGAUGAUGAUCAAAGUCUCGGUUUUCGUGGUCAUUGUGGGUC
This 211-nucleotide small RNA is filed under the name Arabidopsis thaliana (thale cress). RNAcentral describes it as "ATSL091980". Lineage: Eukaryota; Viridiplantae; Streptophyta; Magnoliopsida; Brassicales; Brassicaceae. The record is from RNAcentral.